Molecule: long non-coding RNA, 2211 nt
Organism: Equus asinus (donkey)
Lineage: Eukaryota; Metazoa; Chordata; Mammalia; Perissodactyla; Equidae
Source: Ensembl
AUUUUUAGUUGUGGGUCCUUCUAGUUGUGGGAUGUGGGGUGCCGCCUCAGCAUGGCCUGACAAGCGGUGCCGUGUCCGCACCCAGGACUUGAAUCAGCAAAACCCCGGGCCGCCGAAGCAGAGCAUACGCGCAAACUUAACCACUUGGCCACAGGGCCAGCCCCCUAUAGGGGAUUUUAAUAGGCCUCAGUGUCAUAAUAUGCAAAAUGUCCAGAAUACAAUACAGAAUUACUCUCAACAAAGGGCCAGGGAAAUCUCUAAAGAGAAAAGAAAAUUAACAUGCCAACUUUAAUAUGUUAGCAUAAUCAGAAAAACAUUAGAGCUUUUUAUAGCUCUAAUUAUUACAGCUGUACUCCAUGAAGGGCAGAUGCUCUUGAACUACAAGGUAUAGAAUUUAAAAAUAACUGAAAUGAGAGCUGGCCCCACAGCUGAGUGGUUAAGUUCGCGCACUCCACUUCAGCGGCCUGCGGUUCGUGGGUUCAGCUCUUGGACAUGGACCUACACACCGCUCAUCAGGCCACGCUGUGGCGGCGUCCCACACAGAAGAACUAGAAUGACCUAUAACUGGGAUAUACAACUGUGUACUGGGGCUUUGGGGAGAAAAAAAAUGAGAAAUUUAGUGGAUGGACAGAAAAAUGUUUGGAAACAGAAACAAACUAAGCCUCAGGGACUAGUGGGACAGUAUAAAAACCUCUAACGAAUGUGUUAAUGGAUUCCCAGCAAAAGAAGAAAGACGUUGUAAAAAACCCUUUUUUUAAGAAAUAACGGUUGAGGGGCCGGCCCCGUGGCUGAGUGGUUAAGUUUGCACGCUCUGCUUCGAUGGCCCAGGGUUUUGCCUGUUUGGAUCCUGGGUGUGGACAUGGCACUGCUCAUCAAGCCAUGCUGAGGUGGUGUCCCACAUGCCACAACUGGAAGGACCCACAACUAAAAAUACACAACUAUAUACCAGGGGGCUUUGGGGAGAAAGGGGAAAAAAAAAAAAAAGAAUGGUUGAAAAUGUCCCAAAUCUGGCAAUAGAUAUAAAUUUAAAGACUGAUAAAGUUCAAUAAACCCCAAAUAGACAACCUCAAAGAAAACCUUAUCAAGACGCACCAUUGACUGCUGAAACUAAAGAUUUUUUAUCUUGAAAGCAGCCAAAGAAAAGUGACUCAUAUAUAAAGUAACAAUUUGAAUAACUACCAAUUUAUCAUCAGAAACCACAGAGCCCAUUUGACUGGAAAGUUCUAAAGGCUGAAAGUAACUCAGUCUAGAAUCCUAUACCCAUUAAAACUAUCAGAAAUGCAGAUGAAAUAAAAGUAUUCUUAGGUGAAGGGAAACAGAAUUCUUAACCAGUGGAGCUGCUCAGAAAGAAAUGCGAAAGGAGGUUCUCCAGGUGGAAGGUGGAUAAUAGCCGAGAGGAUCUCAGAACUGCAGGCAUGAAGAAAGAGAUCAGCAGAAAUGUCAAUUUUCCGUGUGUCCUACCACAAUUAAAAAAAGAGUUUCAUCUGGAAGGUGAGCUCAACACCGACAGACUGCCCCGGCGCGGCCACAGGGAGAAGUUCAUGAGGCUCUCAGACUGGAGCGGGCGAGCUGCUGCUUCAGUGGCUUCCUCUGCCAAGGACAGUGGAGCUUAACCCUUGCUCCCUUGAGGCUCCCUGGACUCUGGCUGGGGAUGGGAGACGCACAUAUGCCCCCAGGCUAAGAUGGCCUUGAUCAUCAUAGGCUGACUGGUAGUGAGCUCCUGUCUGCUGAAAUGGAGCGAUCUUUUGGUCAUGUCCAGUGGGCACAGGAUGGUUGGACCAUUGUCGGUACAAAAGCUGACAGCUGGACACACGGACAUCAAGUUCAGCCCCUCCUGUGCGUGCGGAAUCAGGUAGACACGCUGUGACUCCUCUGUAGUCACGUGUCUGUUCUGAAGGUCACCAAGACACCCUCUUCUGUAGCAUCCAGCCAGACCCUGCACUGUCAUUAUCUCCACUGAGAUAAUCAGUCCUCAUCAGCUCACAUCCCUCAGAAGAUUUCAAGUCACCAUCAUAAAGACCCCACAUAGAUGACAGAACUCCAUCUGGCUGGUGAGCAGGGUGAAAAUCUGACAGUGCCGCCAGUAUCUGGUGGGCUCAGUCAGAGCCGAUGUUUGGGUGAGAACUCAUGGCGUCCAAAGAUGGUGGUGCUGCUCUUGGACAGAGCUAUAAAAACCACAUGUGCCAGGUAUCACCCCAGUCCUUCAGCUCU